RNAcentral lists this small RNA (498 nucleotides) under uncultured Glomus. RNAcentral's name for it is "SSU rRNA". It matches the Rfam family "Eukaryotic small subunit ribosomal RNA", at positions 569 to 1072 of the family's 1831-position model. Lineage: Eukaryota; Fungi; Glomeromycota; Glomeromycetes; Glomerales; Glomeraceae. The record is from RNAcentral.
AGCAGCCGCGGUAAUUCCAGCUCCAAUAGCGUAUAUUAAAGUUGUUGCAGUUAAAAAGCUCGUAGUUGAAUUUCGGGGUUAGUAGGUUGGUCAUGCCUCCGGUAUGUACUGAUCUCACUGAUUCCUCCUUCCUUAUGAACCGUAAUGCCAUUAAUUUGGUGUUGCGGGGAAUUUGGACUGUUACUUUGAAAAAUUAGAGUGUUUAAAGCAAGCUAACGCUUGAAUACAUUAGCAUGGAAUAAUGAAAUAGGACGUUCGAUCUUAUUUUGUUGGUUUCUAGGAUUGACGUAAUGAUUAAUAGGGAUAGUUGGGGGCAUUAGUAUUCAAUUGUCAGAGGUGAAAUUCUUGGAUUUAUUGAAGACUAACUACUGCGAAAGCAUUUGCCAAGGAUGUUUUCAUUAAUCAAGAACGAAAGUUAGGGGAUCGAAGACGAUCAGAUACCGUCGUAGUCUUAACCAUAAACUAUGCCGACUAGGGAUCGGAUGAUGUUAAUUUUUA